Molecule: long non-coding RNA, 536 nt
Organism: Astatotilapia calliptera (eastern happy)
Lineage: Eukaryota; Metazoa; Chordata; Actinopteri; Cichliformes; Cichlidae
Source: Ensembl
UACGGUGUACAUUUUAGGACAUCGUCAGGUAUCAGAAAAAAAAUUGUCAGGUGUCAGUUGUCAAAAAAAAAAUUGUCAGGUAUCAGAAAAAAAAUUGUCAGGUGUCAGUUGUCAAAAAAAAAAAAGUCAGGUAUCAGACAAAAAAUUGUCAGGUGUCAGAAAAAAAGUUGUCAGGUGUCAGAAAAAAAAUUGUCAGGUGUCAGAAAAAAAAUUGUCAGGUGUCAGAAAAAAAGUUGUCAGGUGUCAGAAAAAAAAUUGUCAGGUGUCAGAAAAAAAAUUGUCAGGUGUUAGAAAAAAAAUUGUCAGGUGUCAGAAAAAAAGUUGUCAGGUGUCAGAACACAAGGUACCAGAGAGAAAAUCUUCCUGCAGGUGGCGCUGUUGUCAUGUCCCACCCGAAUUGAUUUCCAAAUACGUCAUCAACGUGUGACCGUGGGAGAGCGUAAGGUCAUUGACCUCACCGGAGUUUUACCGUGGUUCAGGCUCCUAACGACACAAGGUAAGUUUAACUUUUUCUCCCUUUUGUUCAUAUUUUUGCC